UCGGCGAACAGCGCAAAUCCGGAACAUGCACAUCCGUCCGGACCGGAGAGGUCCGGACACAAAAGCCGCCGGAGCCGCCCUCCCUUCCAGAGGACCAUCACGACCAUCAUCAUCCGCUCCGGCAACGGCACCGGCACGACCAUCAACCGGUCCCGUUCUAUAUUCCGGCCAUACUCGGAGGUCCGCGAUGCAAUCGCAGCGUCCCACAAAAGAUCCCGAUGAAGGUGAUAAGAGUAAAAUCAAGUGGUUUUCCAACUCCCGCCUUUGUUCCCGUUAGAAAAAUGAGCCUGAAAAGUGUAGGAAACUUUGAGAAACGCAGCGAAAAAGAUUCUCAGAAGGACGAGAAUGAAAUUGGAGAAAGAGGAUUCUAAUCCUUUUGCAAUGCUUCGGAAACCAAUCUCCCAAAUCACAGUCAUUUGCAGAAAGUACGGAAAUCUGCGGCCAACGCACACGGGUAAAAGGGCAUCGGAAACCGGCACCGGUUCGCGAUGCCGCUAAGGUCUUGCAGCAACAAUCGAUUUCUCCUUCCAGCCACCAACGGAAUCGAACAGAAUAUAUCUAAUCGCGGAACAGCUCAUAUCCGGAUCAUCCGCUUCCGUGCAAGAAAACAAGUGGCCCUGCGUCUUCCCAUCGUCAUCGUCAACCACUCUAAGUCAUCAGAUCCGCCGUGGCCGAACCCGAAGUUCACCUUUCGAUCCGAGCGGAUGGUCGAUAUGGUGUGUAUGAUCGAGCAUGCUCCCGCCUCCUGCUCGGUGGCCAUCCGAGCGAUCUGAUCGAGUUCGACAUCGGCACGGCAAGCGAACUGUCGGGUAUGCAGGCACAAAUGGUUCCAAAUGCGUGCUAGAUCUUGCGACGCCACUCGCGCUACCUCUGUGCCGUUGACGCUUUCGGAAAAGAUUGCACUGCGUGACCCAAACUCGCUGACCAUGGAGCACGAGCUCCAUACGCAUUCGGCCAGUCUGUCCGGUUGUUUCGCUCCACAAUCCGCGAUGAUAGGAACACUAUUGCUCGAAGGAGUUUUGUCUUUCGUGUGAGCUCGGUUUCCUCUUUCACAUGCUGGACGUUGGUAGCUCGAGCUCACCGUGCCAGGCAAGCAACUUGCUGCGCUCGUUCCGCACCGUCCCGGAAGCGGCCGCUCUCGGGUUGAUUCUUUUGUCCGACCGUGCCCCAAAUACGGCGAACAUCAAUCUGAUCAGUUUGAUACAGAACUGGAAUCGGUUCGUGCUGCAUCAGAUACACUACGAGCUGUUUGAAGCGAUGAAAAACAACGAAACAAGAACAUCCGCAACACCAUCAGCCCAUAGGACAGCACUCGUUCGACCAGCAACAGCAGCAGGUGCACAAGUUUCAAAUUCUUAACCUUGGCAAUGGUGCAAAAGUACCAUCGGGACAGCAGCAGCAUCAGCAACCAACUGCUAAUAGCGCUGCAAAAGAAAUGAAACGAAUAUUAACUGUCUGUUUGGCACGCAGCAACAAACGACUCACCAUUGCCGGAAAUGCAACACGAUACGAGUAAAAGAUAACGUGCUUCUGGUCUGCUGUAUCCGACGAGCACCAUCAACAACGUCGAGGGUACGUUCGGCCUGGUGCGAAACGUGCAACUAGUUUACACCAACGAACCAAAAAUUCCGUGUCACCGAUCUGCUCUUCAUCCUGUCCAUCAGCUGCGGGCUGGAAAACGAGAAGAAACUCGAUUACUUGGGGCGUCAAAUGGCUCACGGUACGGCACAAGGAACGGCACAGACUCAACAGUCAAGAGGAUCGUCAGGAGAUCAAUCCAGAACAGCCGUUUCAUAUAACGGAUCUAGCACGAGCACCAAGAUGUGGCGUUACGGCACGAACUGCUCGCGAGUUUAUUAUCACUUUGGACAUCCACACAAAUCCUCACCCUGCGUCAUAUCACCAGCCCCGGUGUUCAAGUGUUCAAGUCUAUAUUGUGCCAAAAUAAAAUGCCAUCGACAUGAGACCCAUUAUGAUGGUUGUGGCGCUACAGACGGAUGAUUUUCGGAAUCUACUUCCUAGCCUAAAAAGAAGCACAUGAACAGGAAGAGAAAAGGCGCUGCUAGAUGAUGAUGCUACAGUGGACGUCGGAUUUGAAUGCAAAGAGAGCGCGAGAUACGGGCAGUCAAGAACGCAAGGAUCGGUUGACGAAAGAGAUGCGCUAACACUUGGGCUUCGAGGAUGAUCCACGCAACAAACGGUUCCAGGAGAUGCUACCGAUCGAUUAAAUACCACGUUGCGCCGUUAGCAUUUCGGGUGUGCACCGCGCACACCGCGACCAUUAUCAUAGUUUGGCCACCAUUUCAUAGUAAAGCGGCUUACGCAUAAAUUAUCGCAUAAGAAGGGGACCAAAUUUAACGAAUAAACUUACGCUCAAUUUUGAU
Molecule: long non-coding RNA, 2384 nt
Organism: Anopheles aquasalis
Lineage: Eukaryota; Metazoa; Arthropoda; Insecta; Diptera; Culicidae
Source: RefSeq, a predicted model, not a curated record